CUUUCCAAAUCCAUCUAAUCUCCAGAUGGAUGAGGGCUUGGACAGAGAUAUUAGGAAAGAGGCAGAGUCAAGCUGUUUGUGAGUAAGAGAAAACUCCAAAUCACUGAAAUUAAGCAUGGUCAUGUCUACCUACAUGCAGCUCAUUUGAAUGGAAAUAGGAUUCUCUCUGUUUAAUCCAACUAUAACCUAUUAUUACUAAAACUAAUAUUUAUAUCAUGCUGACCAUUUACAAAGCACUUUAUUAGGCAUUAUCUCAUUUGACUAUUCUAGCCACUCUGGGAUGGGUCAUUUUCUUCCUUUUCUCUCUAAGGGAGCUGAGGCUCACAUAGUUGAGUGACUUGCUGUGUCACAGAGCCAGGCUGUGAGACAUGUGAAGGGAGGGAUUCCUCUUCUUGGGCAAAGCCAGAAGUCCUUGGCCACAUCAUGCUGCCUCCUUGACCACAUACUCAUUUCCCCCAUGGAAACCUGAAAAUGCUGGGCUUCUAAAUCACAAACCAGUUUCAGUAAACCAAAGGACUGGCUUAAAAAGUCUUUCUACUCCUCCUGGGUAUACACAGUCUGUCUGAAGCCCAAAUUGUGGAAGCACUCACUCUGACUCUUGCUGGAGAUGACUUUCAAGGCUCUGCAGCUGGCUUGAGUCAACUGUGCUGUUGAGUGGGUGGAGCAGAUACUGUCAGUGCUCUGACCUGAUUCUUCAGCUCUCUCCUUGUUGUUUGUGCAUGCCAGUGGGUUUGGUAUGAUGUGCCUUCAGUGGCCAGGUCUGUGGCUUUUGUUCUCAGGUGACGGUCCUGACUGACGAAUGUGGCAGUGCUUCUGGUUGGAUGACUGCAAGGUGGAGCUAGCAUUUCAGGGCUACCCUGUAGGAUUGGGUGAAGUCACUCCAGGAGCAUCCACCUAAGAUCACACUCUGACUGAUUUCCUGCCCUACCCAGUCCUGCUUCCCUCACCCCCCAUCAGAGGCCUUGGGGAAUUCUUCCUGGAUGAAUCACCUGCACAGGAAUCCUUGUCCCCAAUUCUUCUUCUAGGGACGCUGACCUAAAAUAGAGGUAUCGGUAGUAUAUUCUAGAAUCUUUCAGGUGCCCUAGUUUAGUGUUUAUUUUCGUAUCUUCAAUUAAGCAGUUUUGAUGUCAAUCUGACCUUAAAUUAUUUAAAAUCUCCAAGCCUUUUCUGGCAUCUCUAACGUGGGGAUAAUCACACCUGCCUCUCAGGGCCAUGGGAGGGAUUGAAUGAGAUAAGGGGUUGGGGUGAAGUGAGGUACAAGGAUAUGGAAGCAGGAACAGUGGAAAGUACCCACGAUGAGUUCACCUGAGCCCAAAGAUUUUCAGAAUAUUUAAUAUAUUCAUUGGAAGGACUGAUGCUGAAGUUGAAACUCCAAUACUUUGGCCACCUGAUGUGAAGAACUGACUCAUUGGAAAAGACGCUGAUGCUAGGAAAGAUUGAAGGCAGCAGAAGGGGUGAGAAAGGAUAAGAUGAUUGGAUGGCAUCACCAACUCAAUGCACAUGAGUUUGAGAGUUUGAGCAAGCUCUGGGAGAUGGUGAAGGAUAGGGAAGCCUGGUAUGCUGAGUUCAACACGACUGAACAACUGAACAACAACCAACAACAUAUUUUCAAUUAAUACACAGAACCCUUUCCUCCUUAGAAGAAAGACAUGCUGUCAGUCUCCUUGAGUAGCAACGAGUUCUGGAAGCUGCUAUCACCUAUAACCAAAGGCACCUGUAGGUCCAAACUCAAGCCCUGUUGCUGGUCUUAGAGCACAGAUAAAGCAAUUAUUAUUUAAAGUCACAAGUGGCUGCCGCAGUUUCAGCCCAUAAGGAAGUAGCAUAAUAUCGCUCUGGAGUAAAUAGCCUUUUAUUUAGCAAAGAUGAGACCCGUGGGGCAUGAUUGGAAGGAGGCACUGAAACAAAGAGAUAGCUAAACCAAUCAGCAUAACAAAUAAACAAGAAUUUUCUGGGGAGAAAAGACGUGGAAGGUAGAGAAGGGGGAGGGAGCCGACAGGGAUUAAUCUGUGGUGUGGACAGUCUGCGGGAAGGCUGUGUGUUAAACAUCACCAGUGGCCAGAGGAUGUUCAAAGCUAAGGAUAUUUUGUGUUUGAUUUUAAGCUGCUUGCUCUGUGCUGAAAAGUAAUUGCCUGAGGGCCUCAUUGCCUCUCUGGAAAGUCUUGUUGGAGGGAGAGAAGCUGACCUCAUAUUCAUUCUUUGUUAUGUGACCCACUUCUGCCCAUGGGAAAUAUGCAUCCCUACACCCCCUGACGGGGAGCUGACUGUGGCACAGACCAUGAACUGCUUAUUGCCAAAUUCAGACUUAAAUUGAAGAAAGUGGGGAAAACCAUUAACCCACCCAAGUAUGACUGAAUCAGAUCCCUUAUGAUUAUACAGUGGAGGUGACAAAUAGAUUCAAGGGAUUAGAUCUGAUAGCCUAAAGAACUAUGAAAUGAGGUUCGUGACAUUGUAUGGGAGGCAGGGAUCAAGACCAUCCUCAAGGAAAAGAAAUGUAAAAAGACAAAAUGGUUGUCUGAGGAGGCCUUACAAAUAGCUGUGAAAAGAUGAGAAGUGAAAGGCAAAGGAGAAAAUGAAAGAUAUACCCAUUUGAAUGCAGACUUCCAAAGAAUAGAAAUGAGAGAUAAGAAAGCCUUCCUCAGUGACCAAUGCAAAGAAAUAGAGGAAAACAAUAGAAUGGGAAAGUCCAGAGAUCUCUUCAAGAAAAUGAGAGAUACCAAGGGAACAUUUCAUAGAAAUAUGGGCACAAUAAAGGACAGAAAUGGUAUGGAUCUAACAGAAGCAGAAGAUAGUAAGAAGAGGUGGCAAGAAUACACAGAAGAACUAUACAAAAAAGAUCUACAUGACCCAGAUAAUCACGAUGGUAUGAUCACCAACCUUGAGCCAGACAUCCUGGAAUGUGAAGUCAAGUAGGCCUUAGGAAACAUCUCUACGAACAAAGCUAGUGAAAGUGAUGGAAUUCCAGUUGAGCUCUUUCAAAUCCUAAAAGAUGAUGCUGUGAUAGUGCUUCACUCAAUAUGCCAGCAAAUUUGGAACACUUAGCAGUGGCCACAGGACUGGAAA
Long non-coding RNA from Bos taurus (domestic cattle), 3060 nucleotides. The record is from Ensembl. Lineage: Eukaryota; Metazoa; Chordata; Mammalia; Artiodactyla; Bovidae.